Long non-coding RNA from Passer domesticus (house sparrow), 1354 nucleotides. RefSeq lists it as uncharacterized. NCBI's taxonomy places the organism in Eukaryota, Metazoa, Chordata, Aves, Passeriformes, Passeridae. The record is from RefSeq and is a predicted model, not a curated record. The transcript is spliced from 3 exons.
GGAUCAUCACAGGAAUUUAGUAGUAUGUAUUUGUCCUAGGGCAAGGUUAUGAUGUUUGUAUCCCCAGUCGUGUGUUCUGUUAGUGCUGAAUAUUAUGUACUGUGCCUUCAAGACUGGCUCUGAAGAGCAAGGUUUGUUUUGGUUUGUUAUCAGCCUGCUCCCCCAUGGCUGGCGGGACAGAGAGACGGGGCAGUACAUAGUGCGGCUUUUGCUUUUUGCUUUGCUUUUUGCUGCUUUGCUUUGCUCUUGCUCCUGCUUCGCUCCUGCUUUGCUCCCGCUCCACUUUUGCUUUUUUUGCUUCUGUUAGUUAGUUUAGCUAAGUGGUCCAGAUUUUUUCCCUGGACUGUUUUUCCCUUCCCUUUUUUGGAACCAUUCAAACCUGCUCCAGACUGGGACCUGGGAAACACCAAGAGUUUACAUCUGGUGGCUGCAGCAGCUAUCCCCAGCGCCGGAGGGAGCAACAACAGAGUGACCACCCCCAGGAAAGACUUUCUGAAUUUGUCAUCCUUUUCAGAUCGGUGAAAGUGUUGUCAUCUGGAAUGGGGAAGAACAAAUCGGCCUGUAUUCACAUGUGACACAAGUUGGAUUAAGGACCUGAAGUACGAGAGUUUGCACCAAGUCAAGGACAUUUCUGCUUCUCAUCCUGCCGGUGAGCAGGCUGGAGGUGCACAAGAAGAUAGGAGGGGACACAGCCAGGACAGCUGAUCCCAAGUGACCAAAGGGAUAUUCCAGAUCAUAUGACGUGCUCCAUAUACAAAGCUGGGGGAGAAGAAGGAAGAAAGACGAUUAUAGAGGGACAGCUUUUGCCUUCCCAGGUCACACCUUAUGGAGCCCUGCUCUUCGGGGAAUACCUGAACACCUCCCCCUCCACGGGAAGCAGUGAAUUAAUUCCCUGUUUUGUUUUGCGUAUGUUGCUUUUAACUUACCUAUUAAACUGUUUGUAUCUUAACCCAUGGGUUCUCUCACUUUUACUCUCUUUUGAUUCUCUCUCCCAUUCCACUGGCAUGAAGUCAGUGGCUCUGCGGGGCUUAGUUGCUGGCUGGGGUUAAACCAUGACAACUGCAUACAUAUAAAUGCUUCUUUAAUUAAAGAAGGAAGUUCAUACCUAUGGAUCAUUUUACCACCACUGGGAGUAUUAAUAAUUAAAUGAAGGCAAAGUCUACCAAAAUCUUUUUUCUUUACUCUCCAAUUCCUACUAUUCUCCUGAUGCUAGUGUUAGUGUUUUGAUAUGCAGAAAACAAUGGUACAUAACUGACAAGAUAUAGAGACUCUGACAGUGUGAUCAAUUACAUCCUGUGACACUUCCCUCACCAGCAAGCAUGUACAAGAGUGUCUGAAUGACAGACAACCUAAC